GAAGAAUUAAUAAACGAAAACCUUUUGGCGAACUCGCCAAGGGCGAAAAGCCACUCAAAUAAAGAUAAAGAAAGAAAUUAAAUAUAAUAUCUUGAUCAAGUUCGAAAGCAAUUUUACAUCGAGCUCCAGAAAAAAUCUGAAGCCUGUGGAAAAAUAAAAAAAAAUAAAAAUUAAAAUAAAAUCUUUGUAAAAAUCCUGGGGAAUCCCUGAAAAAAUCCUCAAAUUCUGAGUAAAUUCAAAAAAAUCUUUUUAAGCAAUUGAUAAGGAACUCUUAGAAGAAAUCCUAAAGGUAUUCUUGAAAAAUUCCAAAAACAAAUCUUGAAGAUGCUUUCGGAAUAAUUAAAGAAAGCAUGUCUCAUUAGUUCCUUGAAGAAAAAUCAUCAAGAUCUCUAGAACAAAUUUAACAAGGAGCUUCUCAAGUAAUUACAGGAGAAAUUGGAGGAAAGUUCUAAUUUCGCUGAUUCAUAUUCCUGGGUCAGUAAGUCACCAGUAUCUGUGUUUUGUAAUAUUCGUGGCAGAUUAUAAGUUGUCCGUCCAUAAUCCACGCGGUCAUAUUUUUUAUAUUUUUCAGACUACACUCUCCUCUCCUCAAAGUAAAUUGUGUUAUUGGAGAAAUCGUAAAACAUUAUUUCUGGAUGUUCAAGAAUAUAGAUUUAUAAAUAAAAUAUUCUGAAGGAUUCGUAUUUCUAAUAUCUAUAAAUUGUCAUAUAGUUUUUGUAUCCUUAAAAAACUUUGUAGGAUGCUGGACUGAUCUUGGUUUUAGUCAUGAAUCGGCACGAAAAAGUUGAACGAGCUCUGCGAUUUAUUUCACUGUUGGCUGAAGGAAACUAAUCUCUACCUGAAGAGCCUGCAGGCUUGAAUUUAAUCUCUGUCCACUGCGGGUUCUCGGACUAUCACCUGAAGCGCUCCAGUCGUUAUACUGCAUUAUUUAAACGUUUUUAAUUCAAUAAAAAUAGAAUAAAUAAUGUAAACUUAUUUUUUUGUUUGAAACAUA
Molecule: long non-coding RNA, 994 nt
Organism: Aedes aegypti (yellow fever mosquito)
Lineage: Eukaryota; Metazoa; Arthropoda; Insecta; Diptera; Culicidae
Exons: 2
Source: RefSeq, a predicted model, not a curated record